This is an RNA transcript of Cercocebus atys (sooty mangabey), 1137 nucleotides long. It is a transcript of the gene named polyadenylate-binding protein-interacting protein 1 pseudogene, with no coding region annotated. Lineage: Eukaryota; Metazoa; Chordata; Mammalia; Primates; Cercopithecidae. The record is from RefSeq and is a predicted model, not a curated record. The transcript has a single exon.
UGUUAGCCAGGAUGGUCUCGAUCUCCUGACCUUGUGAUCCACCCGCCUCGGCCUCCCAAAGUGCUGGGAUUACAAGCGUGAGCCACUGUGCCUGGCCCCAAAUUUCUCUUAUAUGGGAGCUUGCCUGUGUAAUUACCUGGCCCAUCAUCUGACAGCACAUAGAGUAGCACCUUCCGCAAAUUUCUACUUCAAAGAUGUUGGACUGAGUAUGACAUUAAAGAUCAAGCUGCAAAAAGGGAUGAAGUUACUCCAAAACAAUUUCGUGCAUUGGUACCCUUUCUGGGAGAGCUUUAUCGUAACCUGGAGAUCAGAGGAACAAAUGGACAGGUUACAAGGGCAGAUAUUCUUCAGGUUGGUCUUUGGGAGUUGCCGAAUGCCUGAAUGCCCUCUUUUCUAAUCCCAUGGAUGACAGCUUAAUUUGUGCAAUAAAAUUGCUGAAGUUGACAGGGUCAGUUUUGGAAGAUGCUUGGAAGGAAAAAGGAGGGACUGAUAUGGAAGAAAUUAUUCAGGAAAUUGAAAAUGUUGUUAUAGAUGCAAACUGUGGCAGAGACAUGAAGCAGAUGCUCUUGAAGCUUGUAGAGCUCCAGUGCAGUAACUGGGGUAGAGUCCAUGCAACUUCAUCAUGCAGAAAUGCAACACCCGAAAAAGAUCCCAACUGCUAUGUGAAUGAACUAGCAUUUUAUACAUCUCAUAGUUUUCGUUUCACUGCAGCCAAUCCAGAUUCCCAAGAGGCAUAUCAGGAGUUACUUGAAAAAGAGGACUUUUUUUCUAGAUUAUGAAGAAAGUGAAACAGAUUUAUCAGGGGCUGGUGAUCCACACUUGGAUGAUAUUGAUGAUGAGUUGGACCCAGAGAUCCAGAGAUAGAGGAAGCUUAUGAAGUUUUGUUUGGAAUCAGAGCGUAAGCGAAAACAGUAAAGUUAAAUUUCAGUAUAUCAUGUUUAUAAAGCAGUUUAGUUAUGGUGAUUUAGCAGAAUACAAAGCCAGAAAAUGUGUCACACUUAUACCAAAUUAAGGAUGUUACGUUACUAAUAUAUGCAACUUUAAUUUUGUUUAACACUGUCUGCCAAAAUAAAUUGUAUUCCCUCUAACUUAAAAAAACAAAAUAGUGAUGUUGUUUGUUUUUUUUUCCCCUUGUCC